This 206-nucleotide long non-coding RNA is filed under the name Elaeis guineensis (African oil palm). RNAcentral describes it as "long non-coding RNA (EGUI_LNC042360)". Lineage: Eukaryota; Viridiplantae; Streptophyta; Magnoliopsida; Arecales; Arecaceae. The record is from RNAcentral.
CCAGUGGGAGAACUCCUCGAAAGGGCUUGGAGGACCGAAGGCUCGACGUCGUAAGGGACGUCGACGGCGAGGGCCGCCCGGGCAACUCCUACGUCCGUGCCUGCAACAAGAGAAAAGAAAGAAGGAAAUCUCGAAAGAUCGGGAAAGAUUGCGAAUAAACCCUCGGAAGCUGAACAAACAAAGCAAGAAGAGGAAGGAACAAUAGC